AUGAAAUUUUUCAUGACAAGCAUCCUGGUCUUCAACAAUGGGCCGAGCCAUGAAAACAUGUUGUACAACUAUUUCCCCAUCAACAAAAAUGCCCAGACUCAUCUCAGACCCGGCUCACAGCACACAGCUGGUGAGGUGAAGGGUGGAGGGUGAACCCCACGGAUGGUGUGAGGUCCAGAUCAUCCUCUGUUACUCCAGGAGGAGGAGAGAAACGAAAGCGCUGCAGGAGGGAGGUGAAGAAGAGGAAGAGCGCCAUCCUGGCCAGACCCUCCCCCAGGCACACCCUACGACCUGGAAGAAGAUAAAAUGAGAGUACCAUAGAAGGAUUCACUUACCCAGUCAGUAUGGAUACAGAAACAGUGGACCUCACCUGCAGAGAAGGGCAUGAAGGCAUCCCU
Oncorhynchus masou masou (cherry salmon) is the source of this 398-nucleotide long non-coding RNA. RefSeq lists it as uncharacterized. The transcript has 3 exons. Lineage: Eukaryota; Metazoa; Chordata; Actinopteri; Salmoniformes; Salmonidae. The record is from RefSeq and is a predicted model, not a curated record.